Macrostomum lignano is the source of this 73-nucleotide non-coding RNA. The record is from Rfam. NCBI's taxonomy places the organism in Eukaryota, Metazoa, Platyhelminthes, Macrostomidae.
GCCUCCAUAGCUCAGUGGCUAGAGCACUGGUCUUGUAAACCAGGAGUCGGGAGUUCGAUCCUCCCUGGGGGCA